GCGGAUGUGGCGAAAUUGGCAGACGCACUAGACUUAGGAUCUAGCGCCGCAAGGCAUGUGGGUUCGACCCCCUCCAUCCGCA
This 82-nucleotide transfer RNA is filed under the name Hydrotalea flava. Its description in RNAcentral is "tRNA-Leu". It matches the Rfam family "tRNA". Rfam says of the family: Transfer RNA (tRNA) molecules are approximately 80 nucleotides in length. Lineage: Bacteria; Pseudomonadati; Bacteroidota; Chitinophagia; Chitinophagales; Chitinophagaceae. RNAcentral also lists the same sequence under 10 other names. The record is from RNAcentral.